Molecule: ribosomal RNA, 551 nt
Filed under: Trigonopterus squalidulus
Lineage: Eukaryota; Metazoa; Arthropoda; Insecta; Coleoptera; Curculionidae
Description: partial large subunit ribosomal RNA
Rfam family: Bacterial large subunit ribosomal RNA
Source: RNAcentral
GUUGAUUAUGAUUUCAGGUCUGACCUGCCCAAUGAUAAAUUAAAUGGCUGCAGUAUAUUGACUGUGCAAAGGUAGCAUAAUCAUUAGUUUUUUAAUUGGAAGCUUGUAUGAAAGGUUUGAUGAGAAAAUUACUGUCUCUUAAGAAGUUUAUUAGAAUUUUAUUUUUAAGUGAAAAAGCUUAAAUGGCUAUAGAAGACGAGAAGACCCUAUAGAGUUUUAUAGGUAACUGGAAGCUUUAUUAUGAGGAUGUAUAAUGCUAAGGCUUGUUGGUAUUUAUUUUAUUGGGGUGAUAGGAAAAUUAAUUAAACUUUUCUUUUAUUAUAAUAUUAAUUUAUAGAUAAAUGAUCCUUUGUUUAGAUUAAAAGAAAAAAUUACCUUAGGGAUAACAGCGUAAUCUUUUUUAGAGUUCUUAUCGAAAAAUAGGUUUGCGACCUCGAUGUUGGAUUAAAAUUUACUAUUGGUGUAGGUGCUAAUAAGUUGGGUCUGUUCGACCUUUGAAAUUUUACAUGAUCUGAGUUUAGACCGGCGUGAGCCAGGUCGGUUUCUAUCUA